UGGGGAAUAUUGCGCAAUGGGGGCAACCCUGACGCAGCAACGCCGCGUGAUUGAAGAAGGCCUUCGGGUUGUAAAGAUCUUUAAUCAGGGACGAAACAUGACGGUACCUGAAGAAUAAGCUCCGGCUAACUACGUGCCAGCAGCCGCGGUAAUACGUAGGGAGCAAGCGUUAUCCGGAUUUACUGGGUGUAAAGGGCGCGCAGGCGGGCCGGCAAGUUGGGAGUGAAAUCCGGGGGCUUAACCCCCGAACUGCUUUCAAAACUGCUGGUCUUGAGUGAUGGAGAGGCAGGCGGAAUUCCGUGUGUAGCGGUGAAAUGCGUAGAUAUACGGAGGAACACCAGUGGCGAAGGCGGCCUGCUGGACAUUAACUGACGCUGAGGCGCGAAAGCGUGGGGAGCAAACA
RNAcentral lists this ribosomal RNA (403 nucleotides) under uncultured bacterium. Its description in RNAcentral is "bacterial SSU rRNA". It matches the Rfam family "Bacterial small subunit ribosomal RNA", at positions 355 to 774 of the family's 1533-position model. The record is from RNAcentral.